UGUUUUCCGCGUUGGACCGCAACAAGUCUGUUGGAAUACAGCGGCAUAGUGGUGAGACCCCCGUAUAUGGUGCGGACGCCCAACGCUUUGUGAUACACUUUCGAAGAGUCGAGUUGUUUGGGAAUGCAGCUCAAAUUGGGUGGUAAAUUCCAUCUAAAGCUAAAUAUUGGCGAGAGACCGAUAGCGAACAAGUACCGUGAGGGAAAGAUGAAAAGCACUUUGGAAAGAGAGUUAACAGUACGUGAAAUUGUUGGAAGGGAAACGCUUGAAGUCAGACUUGCUUGCCGAGCAAUCGGUUUGCAGGCCAGCAUCAGUUUUCCGGGGUGGAUAAUGGUAGAGAGAAGGUAGCAGUUUCGGCUGUGUUAUAGCUCUUUGCUGGAUACACCUUGGGGGACUGAGGAACGCAGUGUGCCUUACGGCGGAUUUCUCGAGAUCUUCACACUUAGGAUGCUGGUGGAAUGGCUUUAAACGAC
RNAcentral lists this ribosomal RNA (473 nucleotides) under Rhodotorula taiwanensis. RNAcentral's name for it is "partial large subunit ribosomal RNA". It matches the Rfam family "Eukaryotic large subunit ribosomal RNA", at positions 159 to 648 of the family's 3401-position model. The record is from RNAcentral. Lineage: Eukaryota; Fungi; Basidiomycota; Microbotryomycetes; Sporidiobolales; Sporidiobolaceae.